This 492-nucleotide ribosomal RNA is filed under the name uncultured bacterium. RNAcentral's name for it is "partial 16S ribosomal RNA". It matches the Rfam family "Bacterial small subunit ribosomal RNA", at positions 29 to 507 of the family's 1533-position model. The record is from RNAcentral.
AGUGAACGCUGGCGGUAGGCCUAACACAUGCGAGUCGAACGGCAGCACAGUAAGAGCUUGCUCUUACGGGUGGCGAGUGGCGGACGGGUGAGGAAUACAUCGGAAUCUACUUUUUCGUGGGGGAUAACGUAGGGAAACUUACGCUAAUACCGCAUACGACCUACGGGUGAAAGCAGGGGAUCUUCGGACCUUGCGCGAUUGAAUGAGCCGAUGUCAGAUUAGCUAGUUGGCGGGGUAAAGGCCCACCAAGGCGACGAUCCGUAGCUGGUCUGAGAGGAUGAUCAGCCACACUGGAACUGAGACACGGUCCAGACUCCUACGGGAGGCAGCAGUGGGGAAUAUUGGACAAUGGGCGCAAGCCUGAUCCAGCCAUACCGCGUGGGUGAAGAAGGCCUUCGGGUUGUAAAGCCCUUUUGUUGGGAAAGAAAAGCAGCAGGUUAAUACCCCGCUGUUCUGACGGUACCCAAAGAAUAAGCACCGGCUAACUUCGUG